Non-coding RNA from Cherax quadricarinatus, 514 nucleotides. The record is from RefSeq and is a predicted model, not a curated record. NCBI's taxonomy places the organism in Eukaryota, Metazoa, Arthropoda, Malacostraca, Decapoda, Parastacidae.
ACCCAGCUCGUCCUUAUGUUCCUGCCGUGGUUCAUUGUGGAGGCAUACACCUGCGUCCAGCACAACCUCUCUCACAAGAGCUUGAAGACUGGGUACAAGAUGCUGGUGAUGCUGGCUUCAUCUUCUUCAGUCUUGGCUCAGCUGUCACGCCCUCCAGUAUGCCAGAGGAGUACCGCACAACCUUGGUUCAAGUGUUUGCUUCCCUCAAGCAGAGAGUCUUAUGGAAUGGGAUCGGGGACCCCUGGAUGACCUACCACCAAAUGUCCGUCUUGGCAAGUGGCUCCCACAACAAGAUAUUCUUGGUGACCCUCGCUUGCGUUUGUUCAUCACCCACGGUGGGUUGCUGAGUACCUUGGAGUCCAUGUACCACGGUGUAGCGGUGCUGGGAAUGCCUGUGUUUGCUGACCAGUAUUCCAACAUGAACACUGCUAAAGGGGGACGGCUGGGGCAGAGUUCUUCUCUGGGAACAACUUACUUUUGAUAAUCUCAAGAAUGCGAUCAGCAUCAUCAUGAA